UGAAAUGUCAGAUUAAACUAAAAAAGUUGAAGUGCGAAGUUAGAAUACCAAAUGUUAUAUUAAGCAUUAAUUAUAUAAAACUAUAAAGUUUAAGAAUAUUACUCCAUUUCAACUUUUAUGACAAGACUUUGUUGGGCCCAAAAGACCAGUAAUACGGCAUCGUCUUAUUCUACUAUAUUUACGUGUAUUUUUCUUUUUCGCUCAAAGCCUUUCCUUUUUGAUAAUCGGAACUUCACUUGACAAAACGACGAUCAAGGUCCACAUGAAACGCAGAUCCGAUUUCAUUCUCUUUUUACACUAUACUUGGAUCAUCUCCAGUUUUUUAACGGUUCGUUGAGGCCCUUGAAACUCUUGUUAGUGCUUUGACACCAAUUGAUCAUGCAAAAGGGCCCACGAACGGGGUUCAGCCAGCUUUAAUGAAUACUGAUUUGCUUUCCCAAGAAUCAGAGAGCAUUGCUCUUCCACUAAGUUUGCCGGUUAGAGUUCUUUGUAUCAGAGAGCUCCUUACUUGACUCGUGAGGCUGAGUCUUCGAAGGUGCAUUUGAAAAGAUUUUUAGUAUUAUUAAGGAGGAAGGAGGUUCUGAAGGGGGUGUUGUUGUGCACGUGAUUUAUUUCAUUUAAUUUUUUCGAGACUGUCUCAAGCUGCUGGACAAUCUUCUUCAUAGUAAUGCAUCAAAUCAGGUACUACUAAGGGAGACUGUGGGCUUUGACCCAUUAAUAUCACUCUUGAAACUAAGAGGAAGUGCUUACAGUUUCAGUCAACAGAAGGUUAAAUAUUCAAUUGUUUAUAGCUUAUGUGGCUUCUGUUUUUUCUCCAUGAUAUCACAAGCUAACAGGUCAUUUGCUGUUCUUCAUGAAACAAACAACAUGCCAGUAGACAAUUAAAAUAAUUAGUGAAUUGGAGACUAUUAAUUUGUUGAUGAUGGGAGGUUCAGAAGCUGAUCCUCAAAAAGACUUGAACAAGAUCACCAAUAAAACGGUCCUAGUUCAGGUUCAUUACGAAUCAUUUCUGCUUGAAUUGAAUGCCUAAGAGCUAUCUGUUUCACUGAUAGAUUAUCUUGUUUCUGGUUUUCUUGAUUGUAGAAAAAGUUGUUGGACCAUCUUGUAGAAAAUGUAUUGAUCCUAUGGAGCCAGUUAAAUCCUAAAACUUCUGUUGGAUUUAAUUAUGUUGUAUGUAUGUGUUAUGCGCCUUGGCGUAGGAUCUAGUCACAAGUCUAGAUGAGAAAGAAUUCUUGCUUCGACCUAUGGUUACUCAAAAGGCAGAUUCGUCCUUGAUUGAAUCCCCUUCCCAAA
Gossypium arboreum is the source of this 1293-nucleotide RNA transcript. RefSeq lists it as uncharacterized. NCBI's taxonomy places the organism in Eukaryota, Viridiplantae, Streptophyta, Magnoliopsida, Malvales, Malvaceae. The transcript is spliced from 5 exons. The record is from RefSeq and is a predicted model, not a curated record.